Molecule: ribosomal RNA, 479 nt
Filed under: Loxosceles aff. spinulosa GJB-2008
Lineage: Eukaryota; Metazoa; Arthropoda; Arachnida; Araneae; Sicariidae
Description: partial 16S ribosomal RNA
Rfam family: Bacterial large subunit ribosomal RNA (bases 140-439)
Source: RNAcentral
GCCGCAGCCAAAACUGUGCUGAGGUAGCGUAGGAAUUUGCCUUCUCAUUAGAGGAUAGCAUAAAAGGAUAAACGAUUUCAAUAUUUUCUAAAUUAUAAAAUACUAACUUAACUUAAAUAUAAAAAGAUAUUUAUAACAAAGAAAGACAACAAGACCCUAUCGAACUUAACUAAUAGUUAAAUUGGGGAGAUUUAAAAUUAAAACUUUAAUAAACAAAUCUUAAUAUAGAUCCAAUUCAAUUGAUCAUUAAAACAAGUUACCGUAGGGAUAACAGCGUAAUUAAUAAUAAAAGUUCAUAUUUAAUUAUUAGAUUACGACCUCGAUGUUGAAUUAAUGAUUCUUUUUUACGCAAGAGUAAAAAAAGUAGGUCUGUUCGACCUUUAAAUCAUUACAUGAUUUGAGUUCAGACCGGCGCAAGCCAGGUCAGUUUAUAUCUUCUUCCAAAUAUAUGAUAGUACGAAAGGACCUCACAUUCAAUA